RNAcentral lists this transfer RNA (76 nucleotides) under Candidatus Omnitrophota bacterium. RNAcentral describes it as "tRNA-Trp". It matches the Rfam family "tRNA". Rfam says of the family: Transfer RNA (tRNA) molecules are approximately 80 nucleotides in length. Their secondary structure includes four short double-helical elements and three loops (D, anti-codon, and T loops). Lineage: Bacteria; Pseudomonadati; Candidatus Omnitrophota. The record is from RNAcentral.
AGGGGCGUCGGUUAACUGGCUAAACCACUGGUCUCCAAAACCAGGACUGGGGGUUCAAGUCCCUCCGCCCCUGCCA